CAAUAAGCGGAGGAAAAGAAACCAACAGGGAUUGCCCCAGUAACGGCGAGUGAAGCGGCAACAGCUCAAAUUUGAAAUCUGGUCCCCAGGGCCCGAGUUGUAAUUUGUAGAGGAUGCUUUUGGCGAGGCGCCUUCCGAGUUCCCUGGAACGGGACGCCACAGAGGGUGAGAGCCCCGUCUGGUCGGAUGCCAAGCCUAUGUAAAGCUCCUUCGACGAGUCGAGUAGUUUGGGAAUGCUGCUCAAAAUGGGAGGUAUAUGUCUUCUAAAGCUAAAUAUUGGCCAGAGACCGAUAGCGCACAAGUAGAGUGAUCGAAAGAUGAAAAGCACUUUGAAAAGAGGGUUAAAAAGUACGUGAAAUUGUUGAAAGGGAAGCGCCUAUGACCAGACUUGGGCCCGGUGAAUCAUCCAGCGUUCUCGCUGGUGCACUUUGCCGGGCACAGGCCAGCAUCAGUUUGGCGCGGGGGAUAAAGGCUUCGGGAAUGUGGCUCCCUCGGGAGUGUUAUAGCCCGUUGUGUAAUACCCUGCGCCGGACUGAGGUACGCGCUCCGCAAGGAUGCUGGCGUAAUGGUCAUCAGCGACCCGUCUUGAAACACGGACCAAGGAGUCGUCUUCGUAUGCGAGUGUUCGGGUGUAAAACCCCUACGCGUAAUGAAAGUGAACGCAGGUGAGAGCUUCGGCGCAUCAUCGACCGAUCCUGAUGUUCUCGGAUGGAUUUGAGUAAGAGCAUACGGGGCCGGACCCGAAAGAAGGUGAACUAUGCCUGUAUAGGGUGAAGCCAGAGGAAACUCUGGUGGAGGCUCGCAGCGGUUCUGACGUGCGAAUCGAUCGUCAAAUAUGGGCAUGGGGGCGAAAGACUAAUCGAACCUUCUAGUAGCUGGU
Molecule: ribosomal RNA, 880 nt
Filed under: Lecanicillium coprophilum
Lineage: Eukaryota; Fungi; Ascomycota; Sordariomycetes; Hypocreales; Cordycipitaceae
Description: partial large subunit ribosomal RNA
Rfam family: Eukaryotic large subunit ribosomal RNA
Source: RNAcentral